UAGUCACUUGAAGACACCCAUAUCCC
This 26-nucleotide non-coding RNA is filed under the name Mus musculus (house mouse). The record is from RNAcentral. Lineage: Eukaryota; Metazoa; Chordata; Mammalia; Rodentia; Muridae.